GUUUCCUACGGGACGCAGCAGUGGGGAAUAUUGCACAAUGGGGGAAACCCUGAUGCAGCGACGCCGCGUGAGUGAAGAAGUAUUUCGGUAUGUAAAGCUCUAUCAGCAGGGAAGAAAAUGACGGUACCUGACUAAGAAGCCCCGGCUAACUACGUGCCAGCAGCCGCGGUAAUACGUAGGGGGCAAGCGUUAUCCGGAUUUACUGGGGGUAAAGGGAGCGUAGACGUCGGAACAAGUCAGAAGUGAAAACCCGGGGCUCAACCCUGGGAGUGCUUUUGAAACUGUUUGGCUGGAGUUCAGUGGAG
This 305-nucleotide ribosomal RNA is filed under the name uncultured bacterium. RNAcentral describes it as "bacterial SSU rRNA". It matches the Rfam family "Bacterial small subunit ribosomal RNA", at positions 334 to 656 of the family's 1533-position model. The record is from RNAcentral.